CAAGUUCUUGAGGCCAAAAGCCUCCUGCUUAUUUUUUGUUGAGUUUAUAGAGGUGUGCAUAUAUAGUGUUUCUAGGUAGUGAUGUGGAAUGCAAAUAGAGUUUUCAGGAAUACUGAAAAUACUUCUGGAGAAGGAGGUAAAGUGAAAAUGCUUUCUUUUUUAAGAUUCUAUUUAUUUUUUAAAAAGUGCUUAUUUUUGACAGAGAGAGAAAGUAUGUGUGACCAGGGAGGGGCAGAGAGAGAGGGAGACAGGUUCUGAAGCAGGCUCUGUGCUGGCAGCCGAUGUGGGGCUAAACUCAUGAAUCGUAAGAUCAUGGCCUGACCCAAAGUCAGAUGCUUAACUGACUGAGCCGCCCAGGUACUCCCUAAGAUUUUAUUUUUAAGUAAUCUCUACAUCCCAACGUGGGGCUCAACUGAAAACCCCAAGAUCAGAACCCACUGACUGAGCCAGCCAGGCACCCCAAAAAUACUUUUUAAUUGUAACUCACCUCUCAAACUCUUCUACUUAAAGCUGAAUUUAGCAAUAUAGAAAAACUUUGGGCUUAUUAUGUUGAAUUAAUUUCCCAGGUAUGGCCAUUGUAUGAGUAACAAUGUAAGUUUUUGUUAUUAAAAAACUCAAUACAGGCUAUUGGGUACAGGGGACCCUUUUGCCCUUUUAUUAUUUGAUGUUCUCUCUGCCUUAGAAAUAUGCUUUUUUUGGAGGAAAGGCAAGUUUGUUCAUACAAUUCCCAAAGGUUGGUUAUUUACUCUAGAAAAGAAUUUAAAAAAAGUUUUUUUUUAACAUUUACUCAUUUUUGAGAGUGAGAGAGACAGAGCAUGAGCGGGGGAGGGGCAGAAAGAGAGGGAGACACAGAAUCCGAAACAGGCUCCAGGCUUUGAGCUGUCAGCAUAGAGCCUGAUGCGGGGCUUGAACUCACGGAGUGCGAGAUCAUGACCUGAGCUGAAGUCGGACGCUUAACCAACUGAGCCACCCAGGCAGGCGCCUCUACUCUAGAAAAUUAACAAAAAUGGAAACUUUAUAGAAUCUUCCUUCUUAAUGUCUCUUAUUCCUAAGACUUAGGGUAAAACCUACUUUUCUGUUUGUGGCAAUUGCUGUCUAAGGGAGCUUUUUGCAUGCACAUGAAAUAAUGACCUCUGUAAGACCACAUGAUAUGAGGGACCUGCUGGUGUUAACAGGCCAAGUCACCAUUGUACCUUAUUAGUGAUAAGCUUCAUAUUUCUGCUGGAAAUUGGUUUUGCAUUAAUGAGCCAAGUAUAGAACAUUUUGAUAUUCUAGUAAAAUAAAUAUUUUAAUCGUGACAGCCCUGUUCCCCAUCAUUCUGUCAGACCCUGUCUAGACUUUGUUUCCUUCCUCCUGUCCUUGUUGUAUAAACUUAUCCUUAUUUUUUUCUUCCUAAAAUGUUCACUUACUUUGAAGAAUGCCCCCCAAACUUAUAAUCUGUCAGUAUGUAUUAUUUUACCAUAAAGAUCAAAAGCGUGAUUUUUUUUUUAAUUUUUCCUCUCCAUUCAAUUAUCCCUUAGCAUUAAAAGCACUUUUGUAAUACCACGUUUGCUAUUUGCUAUUUUGAGGAAUAAUUGACCCCUUUGAAAAAGUUUUACUGCCCAUCUCAGAAAAAUGUGGUUACAUAAGACAUUUUGCAUCUGAUUUGCAUAUGAUUUCAGAGGUUUAAGGACCCUCUAAAUCCCAUCCUUGGCUCCUGGUUAAUAUUCUAAGGGGCUCCUGGUAGCUCCAGUUAGUGUCUGACUCUUGAUUUUGGUUCAGGUCAUGACCUCAGGGUCGUGAGCUCAAGCACCGAGUUGGACUCUGCACUGGGUGUGGAGCCUGCUUAAGAUUCUUUCUCUCUGCCUCUACUGCUCACACACACACUCUCUCUAAAAAAUUAAAAUAAAAUAAAAUAAGAUAAAUACUGUAAUUAGGAAAAUCGCUCAAAUAAAAGUAGUAAUGCGGACUCAGAGAUAUAUGGGGAAAAUGUCCAGAUUACUUAAAAAGUUACAGGUUGGGGCACCUGGGUGGCUCAGUCAGUUAAGCGUCCGACUUUGGCUCAGAGUAUGAUCUCACGGUCCGUGGGUUCGAGCCCCACGUCGGGCUCUGUGCUGACCGCUCAGAGCCUGGAGCCUGCUUCAGAUUCUGUGUCUCCCUCUCUCUCUGACCCUCCCCCGUUCAUGCUCUGUCUCUCUGUCUCAAAAAUAAGUAUUAAAAAAAAAAAAGUUACAGGUUGUUGAAGGAUGAACAUCUCAAGUAUCUUCUGUAAGCAGGGAAGGAAAAUGUUUGCGAAGGAGUGGGAAAGUUUAGACAGGAAAUGGACAUCAGAGAUAGGAGCACUGAGAAGGGAUGUUUAGGGGAAAGAGAGAGGUAAAUGUGCACCUGUUCAUAGGCAAAAUUGUAGGAAGUUUGGGAGGAGAAUCUAGAACCCUUAGACUGUUUCCACAUUUUAUUUAAAAAGAGAUCUGUCGUUCAGUGAGUUUAGAAAAUACUUAAUAUGCUAUUGCCCUUUAGGGGCUUCAAGACAUGUAUCUGCAGGUUGAAGUUCCCGAGAAGCCCUGCAGUAAAAAACAACAAACAAACAAACAAACAAACAAAAAAACCUGUUUUACAUAGUUGAACCCAGCAUAUCCCAAACAGCUUUGGGUCCAAAUGUUUUGUUUUGUUUUGUUUUCUUUAAUGCAGAAAAUAGUUAUCAGCAGAACACACUUUGAGAAGUGAAAUGCUUGGACUAGAUAAAGUAGUCCUUUCUGACUUUUUAGAAUCUGAGGUGUGCAUGAUGUCCUGAACGGCAAUAAGCAGAGAGAAUCCCAAAGGACUGGAGAUAAAAUUUCGCUCUGGAGGUGGCAGCAGCUAAGUGAGCCAUGCAGUUGUGCCUUCACUUGCCCCAGAGGAGGGAGUGCUGGAAUGUGGGUGAUGCUGUUGGGCUAUGUUGAGAGCUGUGUUGGGCUUUGUGUAGCUCAGAGGUUGUGUAAGUUCUUACUGUGGCUACAUGAGGAAGAGAGGCAGACUGGAGACUGUUUGGUUGAGCCAUUAGAAACAGUGUCACCCUAGAGGUUCACUCUUUCAACUUCUUUGUCCCCAUUAAUCCAGAAGCCCCCCAGGCUGAUAAUAGGUAAUGGGGCUUAAGCAUAAAAAAAUUGGUUGUGAUUCUGAAUGUGGAAGGCAUUUUUCUUUUUAGCUGUGAGGAUGGUCAUUUAAGAAAAAUUGCUUUCUUUAUUAAACAAAAUCCUUGUGCUGUUUUUAAUUGGAUCAGGACAUCUCUGAGCUGCCUUGUGGUGUUCAUACCCAUUCUAGAUAAUGACUUUGUGAAAUAAGGGACUCCGUGGGCUAAAUUUAAGCUAGCAGUGCAGGGCAAAGGGAUACUUUGAUACCAUUAUGCAUUGUUAUCAGUCUCCUGAGCCCAGCAUUCUCUUGGUUAGAUACUCCAUGUUUAAUAUGUUUCAAGGAAUUUUUUUUUACACAGAUAUUCUGUAGUAUUAAUAGGCUUUGGUGGCUCAUACUGUAGACCUUUAUGUGGCUGAGUCCAGCCGCAGCAUGUGCAGUAGGCAGAGAGCUAUUUCAGGAACAAACCUGUUUCCUCUAAUUUUUAAUAAGCACUUAGGUCUGCCUGACUCUUCAGAUGUAUCACAGAGCCCAUCACAUGCCACCUACUAGAGUACUAAAGAGGUCCUAAAAUUAGAAUUUAUGUUUUGGUUUUUUUAAGUUAGUGAUUCUUCUUCCUUUGCUGAAACUACUUAUAGUCAGCCAUAUUUGUUAAAUAAUCUCUUCUAAGUCUGCAAAUUCUAAGAUGGAAUUUUUGAACAUUCUAAUCAAGCAAGAAAAAAUUUUAACAAAAAACAUAAUUCCCCUCAUGGAGUUUUGAGGUUCCCAAUUAUGUGGUGGGGCAUAUAUUUUCCUUUAAGGAUCCAAUUCCCAUGCAGUUCAUAACAUACCAUAUUGUACAUGUAUGUAUAUUACAUAUACAAAUCCUAUUGCAUAAUCUACUGGAAUCCUUGCCUUCUUCCUCUUGACCCUCCCUUCUUCUAUCUCUCCCAAUUUAGGGAGGGAAAAACCCCUGUGCUUCUCUCAGUCUGAAGUCGUCUUUCAGCCCCAGAAUUGUGUUCUUCAGACUUUCUUCAUCUUUACUUGAGUCACCUCAGUUCCAGAGGAGGAAUGGAUUGAUUGGCUGAAUUCUGCUGACUUGUUGCUACCCAGCUCUGCUGAUACGGACGUUCGUAGGGUGGGGAUGACAGGGGAUUACCAAGCACUUGCUGAGUGAUAAACUGAACUGAGGCAACCACAAGCAGGAUGUGCACAAAAGAGCCACUGGGACACACUGACCCAUUGCUCUGAACCAGCUGUCUGUGCUGGUGCCUGCUGGGAAACAGGGCAGGAAUCAGGAGCUUUCUCUCGAACAAGUUAAGUACAACAUGAGUCAGAAGCAUAAUUCCAAAAGGUUUUGGGGCUGUCCAGAUUUGGUGGUAGGAGCAGGGAGGGAGAAGUGUCACACAUUCUGUGGUGAUUGACUUACUGGAAAUUCACCAUCAUGGAAACAGAAAUUUAGGGAAAGAAUUCUUAAUAUGUUCUGGGAAGGCUCCCAUUCAUGGAAUUGGUUUGGCAGACAAAUGGCUUCCAGGAAUGCCAACAAGAAUUAUAUAGCAAGAUGCAGAUGGUUGAUAGUCUCUUUUUCUGUUACUGCAACCUGGUGGUGGUUGGAGAUUUCGACUUAGGGCAGGAGCCCUCUGUCUUCACACAUGACCCUCCACCUCCUUCACUUUUGGCUUCUGAUGACCAGGAAGGAAUUUCUCAAAUUCUCAUCUGUGCAUGUUCUUUAUCCCAUUUCUUUUUCGAUGUAAUUAAUAAAAAGAUUGCUAGUAAUUAUUAUAUAAGAAACUUGAGGUGCAAUCUGAGUUCAUUAGAAACUUGGAUGAGUGCUGUUUGCUCAUUGCUAGAUUAGAAUGACUAUUAAUGCAAGUUGCUUUAUUCCCUGUUUUCCUUCUUCCUUUUCCCCUGUUGUUAUUCUAGGUAAUAAGUAAAUGACUCUUCUGAACUGAAACAGACACAGGAGUGUUCUUUAAAAACAUAACCUUUUUUAAUGGGGAUUUUCUCUUUAGGCAGGGAAAUCUUAUAUAAAAGAGAAAAAUAUAAUCCUUCUAGGUGUACUAACUUUGUUGCUUAUUCUGGGACCAAAAAUAAAUUAAUUUCUAUACUGUAUGCUCUCAGCUAUGCCUAGGAUAGUGUGUGUAUAUGUGUGUGUGUGUGUGCGCAUAUUACAGCCAUAGUUUGUGGAUUUACAUUUUGAACACAAUUAUCUCUUAUUUGAAUGGUGUUCGGUAGUCAAUAGUCAAGCACCAUAAAUAGUUUACGAUUAUAGACUUCUCAUAAUGACCUUUCACCCAAUAUGUUCCAUCCUCUGGAACUCAAUGGGAAUGUUAUACUUUCUCAGAGAUGCUUCUGGUCUUUUUCUUCAUCAUCUGCCACAAAAGACUUUCCCAAGUUUGAUGUCCCAACCUUUUAUUGCAGUUCAGUGCAUUUACUUUUCUAGAAUCCUUCUCAUUUUCCUUAAAAAAAAAAAAAAAAGCAAAAAACCCCCACUUAGUACAUUAAAAUCUGACUCACAGACUUAGAAAUGCUUUAGAAUAGAUAUAUUGAGAAGUAAGCCCACUCUACAUCCAUUAUGUACAGUUGUUUCUGUUAAGGGCUAUCCCAUUUCUUCAGACAGAUUCCAACGUCUUUCCAUCUCAUUUAUUCUUGACUGUCAAUGUAGAUUGUUCCAUUUCACUUUUCAAUUCAGAAUAGAAUAUAGAUAUUAUAGGUAUUCUAUAGAAUAGAAUGUAGCCAAAUUCCAACAUUGGGUGGCCAGUUCUUUCCUUCCACGUGAAUCUGAAUCAGCCUUCUGUUUGGGCAAGAUUUGAGUUACUGGUCAGCACAACUUGCCCCUAGGUAUUCCUGUGUUUUCAAGACUUUUGAGGGGUAAGCCAUUCACUUAUUUACUUUAUUUUUUAUUGAGAUAUAAUUGACAUAUAACAUUGUAUUAGUUUUAGGCAUACAACAUAAUGACUUAAUAUGUGUAGAUUGCAAAAUGAUUACUGCGGUAAGUUUAGUUAACAUCCAUCACUACACAUAGUUACAUUUGUUUUUUCCUUUAAGUCAUUCACUUCAAGAGUACUGUCAAAACCUAGUUGUGUUACCUGGGAAGACCAGUUAACACAAGUUGGUGUUCCAUAGAUAAAAGCCUUUAAAAUUUAUUUCCUUUUAUUAUUAGGGUAUCUGUGUUCAUUGAGAAAAAUUUGAAAACUACAAAUUGCAAAAAUGAAGGAAAUAAAAAUCACCUAUAAUUCUGCAGCUUAUUGUGAACAUUUCUUUGUGCUUAUUUCUUGGUUUGGUUGACUGGGAUUAUGUAUUAUACCUAUAGCUUUAACACCUGGUUUUCUCCUUUAAGCCUCAGGAACUUGCUAGUUUGAUAUCUUGACUAAUUUUCAUAAGGGAGGAGGGAUUAUAGAGACUUUUCAAUGUCACUAAAUAAUUGUUAAUGAUUUCAUUUUUAAAAUUUAAAUGUCUGGGCGUCUAGGUGUCUUAGUCAGUUAAACGUCCAACUUUGGCUCAGGUCAUGAUCUCGCCAUUCGUGAGUUUGAGACCUGCGUCGGGCUCUAUACUGACAGCUUAGAGCCUUGAGCCUGCUUCAGAUUCUGUGUCUCCCUCUCUCUCUGCCCCUCUCUCACUCACGCUCUGUCUCUGUCUCAAAAAUAAACAUUAAAAAAAUAAAAAUUAAAUUUAAAUGUCUUAUUUUGAGAUAAUUGUAAAUUUACAUACAGUUGUAAGAAAGAGGAGGUCCCAGGUUCUCCCAGUGAUAAUAUCUUGCAAAACUAUGGUACACCCAACCAAUUUACUGGCAUUGAUACAGUCGAGAUACAGAACAUUUCCAUCACCACAAGGAUUCUGUAGCCAUACCCACCUUCUUUUUCUUAUCUCCACCCUGGCCCCUGGCAACCACUAAUCUGUUCUCCAUUUUUUUAAUGUAGUCAUUUCAAGAAUGUUGUAUAAGUGCAAUUAUACAGCUUGUGUGACCUUUGGGAUUGGCUUUUUCCAUUCAGCCUAAUUCUCUGGAUAUUUAUUCAGAAAAUUGCAUGUACCAAUAGUUUUCUAUUUUUUCCUGUCUAGUAUUCCCUCUGUACAGAUAUAUCACAUUUUAUUUAUCCAUUUAUCAGUUGAUUGCAUAUUUGGGUUUUUCCAGCUUUUGGCUAUUUUGAAUAAAACUUCUUUGAACAUUUGUAUACAUGUUUUUGUAUGAACAUCAGUUUUUCUUGGGGCGCCUGGGUGGCUCAGUCAGUUACAUGUCCGACUUUGGCUCAGGUCAUGAUCUCACUGUUCGUGAGUUGAAAGCCCCGUAUCAGGCUCUAUGCUCACAGCUCAGAGCCUGGAGCCUGCUUCAGAUUCUGUGUCUCCCUCUCUCUCUGCCACUCCCCCAUGCUCGCUUGCUCGCUCUCUCUCUCUCUUAAAAAUAAACAUAAAAAAAAUUUGAACAUAAGUUUUUCUCUGGGAUAAAUGCCCAAUGACUUCAUUCUAAUGAUGGCGUAAUAUUUCCUUUGUAUGACAUUGUUUUUCAUUGUAUAGAAUAAAUAUGUCAUUUUUUAGUUGGUUAUUUCUAGAUGGAUUAAGGCUCUUUUCCCUCCAGUUUUUUUGCUGUUAUGAGUACACUGAUAAGAACCUUAUAGGUAAGCCUUAAUGCACAUCUACUUUUGUUUUCUAGAAGUGGAAUUGAUACCUCAGAGUGCGCAGAAUUUUAAAACUUUGUUUUUUUUUCUCUAAUAUCUGUCCUGUUAAAAUUCUACCAGCAGUGUAUGAAAGUGCCCAUUUACCCAUUCCUCAUACCUUUGCCAACACAGAACAUUAUUACUUUCAAAAAAUCCUUGUUAAUCUCUACCAUACCCCGCCUCUAGCCACAUAUACUUACAACUUAACUCUUUUCCAGUCCCACUUAGCCUAAGAAAAUCUUUCAGAAUAGUGGAAGUACCAUUAAAAUCUUAUCUUUAUAUUAAGUUUGGGACUCUACUGAAGUGGUUUUGUAGAGCCUCAGUGGAUUUGUUAUAAGAUGGGUACAGAGGGGUGCUUGGCUGGCUCAGUUGGUGAAACAGGGGACUCUUAUAAUCUCAGGGUUGUAAAUUCAAAAUCCCCAUUGGGUAUUGAGAUUAAACUCCCCACUGGGUAUUGGGAUUAAAAAAAUAAAAUCUUAAAAAAAAAAAGGUGGGAACAGAGAAUUACAAGAAAUCACUCAGUCUGCCUAAUCUUGUGCCUUGUCUCUUUUCUACCUUAUAUUCAUCCAGAAGAAUUAAACAUGGGUGUGCUGCCAUCACUAAUAGACUUAAACAAAGGAAAACCUUCAAGAUGUGAAUCACUUUUUGUAAAAACUGAUUAAUAUAAGCAAUAUAGGUAAGAGAGUGUGUAUGUGUUUUAUCAGGAUAGUAGCCCAUUUUUUACUCUUAUAGAUGAGAGUUAAGUAUAGUCCUUUAAUGGAAGUUAAGAGUAUGUAGAGCAGUAGUUGCUUUUUUUCUCCCUUCUUCCACUAAAGUGUUUUAGUGUUUUUCUCAGUGUGACUAGGCAGUGAUUUUGAAGGGAUAAAGCAGGAAGAAGAAUAUUUAUCUACUAAAACCUGAAUGUAUUUGUUUUCUGAGAUAAAUGAAAUCUUUGGCUUGAAAAUUACUUUCUGGUAGAAUAUGGCAAACUGACAUUCCUUCCAGGUAAGACAUUUUUUUCUCUUUGUGUUUUGAAAUCUGUAGUUACUUUUCUUCAUCUGUGGGUACCAUAUUUAAGAUGAAUCAAGAUUUCAGUAAAAAUUGUUUUAUUGUUAGAAUGGCAAAUCACUCUGUAGGAGAUUGGAUGAUUUCAGAAGAGAUUGUGCUUACUAACUUCUUUGGUGCCCAGUUAGUGUCCUGUGACAAAGACAGAUCCCAUUCUUACCAAUAAACAAAUUAAGGAGGCUGGAAGAAUCUGGCAUUUUUCUCUUUAAAGUUAUAAGAAUUAUUAUUCAUUCAGCCAUUUAAAUAUCUUCUACAAGUUUGUAGCCGAAGACUAAUAAAGAAAUGAGCAGAUAAAGCAAAGCAUCAUCCAUGAAAACUAUUCACUUUCUCAGGUAUGAUAAAGAAAAUCUUCUCUUUUCAUUUUUCCCAGUUUAUCAUGAUCCUUACUGCACCAGUGAUCUUAACAUUAAGUAUCUAGAACAUUCACACACCUUUUGGCCUAGGAAGGAAAGUGUAUUAUUGAACAUCAAGCCAGUCAUUCUUACAUCCAGGUGUUACAUACAACCUAAUUUGUCAAGCAUUACUUUUGCUAUAAAGAGAAUGCAGGAAAGGAGUUCUGCUUAAUGGGGGAAAGGGGCGACCAUUGGGGAAGUUUCGGAUGGAGCAUUUUCUUUGAGCUCAGCCUGUACAGCUUUCCCCAGGGCAGUAGAAGAGCCCUGGAAUCUGUCAACUUUAUUGAAGCUCAGAGUUUCAUUUUAUCUUUGAAAUAAAAAUUUCUCUAUGUGUUAUAUUUAGACAACAUUUUUUAUUUAAAAAGAAGUAUUUUUAUAACAAUCACGGAACUAUCUACAGGUCUAAGAACUCCUAGAAGAAUCUUUGACUACGAAUUUGACCAAGAACAGUGGCUUAUGCAACUCUGAAAGCACAUGAUGUUGAGAAUGAUCAAAUGCAAACAGCAUCGAACCCUCAGACUUCUUUGACUAAAAUGGUGAUGUACAAUUCUGAUCUGAGGGGUUGUCAAAAGACUGGUCAACAUCAUGCAGAAUUCAUUUACUGAGGAGGUCAGAAGGUACUACAGAGAAAAACAUAUUUUAAGCGAUCAAGAUUUAUUAUAUAGAUAUUUCAGGAAAGAUUUGCUCAUGAAAAUCUAGAAUUAUGGUGGAUAUAGUAAGUAAUAAAAAGAAACUGAAAGACAGCAUUAUAUUUCUUGGUGGAUAAAUGAGGUAAAAACAUUGGAUUCCUUUUACCUCUUCAGUGGCAGGUUAAGUUUUUGUGGAUCAUUAUACUUUUGUGUGACUGUGUGGAAGAACUUCCAACAUAUUUUGUGUUCUUUCUGGAUUUGGAUAACACUCAACAGAAGCCUGCUUUUGCCUAAAAUGAGUGAAUAGUCCUGUUCUAAAACUGUAUUGAAGUGUGGAGGCUUCAUAUGAAUUAUUAGUACAUAAUACUGUGUUUGACAUUGACCUAUUUGUGGACAAGGAAUAUUCAGUUCACAUUCAUUGUUCAUUAUUGUGUUUGAACCACAAAUAAAUGUUAUAGUUCUAGGGCCUGUGCUAGAACUGAACUGCCUGUGAAUUCUGCCAAAGAAAACAGCCAGCCUGGAUGUUUCAGAGCCCCUUAAGUUUUUGAGGGUUGGUGGAUUUUUUUUUUUUUUUGCUUUUCAGUGUGUUUUGUUUGGGUCCUUUAUAAAUAUCUAGAGUAUUGUCUUAACUCCAUUUCACCCCUUAUGGAGAUGCCCUCAUGUGCCAUAUCUAAAUGUCGUGAAUGAGAAGUGAUUUUGAGACUUUUCCCAUUUUGUUGUGCCUUGCUCACCUGUGGAUCAUGAUGGCUCAGUGAGGAGAGAGAAUUUUAUUUAAAGCCAAAUGCUUCUCUUUCGCAGAUUUUCUUCACACUGUUCCACGUGGACAUGGCUUCUUAGCUCUACUAAUUUUCAUUUUUAAGCAUAAGAUAUUCCUUAGGCCAAAAUAAGCUUUGUAAUUGAGAUAAGUGAAGUUCAUAGUCCUAUUCUCUAUUAUAGGGGUCCUUCUGUUUACUAUUGAUUUUUUGCAUACAUACUGUGUUUCAGAUACAUAUGUCUAAUCCAUACCCUAAAAGUUACUCAUUUCUCAGAAAAGAAACAGAGGCUUAGAUCAAUUAAAAGCCUGCCUAAGAUGACACUUUAGUAAAAAAAAAAAAAGGGGGGUGGUUAGAUCAAAUUAUCUUAAUUUCGCAAAUGGUUUGGGAAUGAUUGGAAUUACCCUAGAAAGAGAAGGUUUGUUUGCUUUUGUUUUGUUUUGUUUUAGCACAGGGAGUGCUAAGUGGGAUGGUUCUGUUUUGAUAACCUGCUUAGAUAAAAUGAGGGACCAGGCUGGGAUAGGGGGGUGGGGUGGAUGGGGAAGUGAACAUGGAAAUGUAGCAUGAGGUUGAAGUAAGACAGCAAAUUAGAAGAACAUUUGAUUAAAGGGAGAAGUCACAAGAUGCAUUUAUUUUGUAAAAUGUGGUGCUUUCACAUCACUCAAGAAAAAAAACCAGAAAAAUCUAUCUUGCAGUGUGAGCAUGUGGUACCUGAUAAUUAAUUGCUUGGUAAAAUUGUCAUUGAUAAAAAUUUUUGGAUUUUUUUAAAUGUACGAAUUACAAGUAAAAUAAGUUUGUGCCACAAAACAACUUUGGUCUGAAACAACAAUUACACAUUAAAAGAGGUGGCGGGCACCAGGGGGCUCAGUCCAUUAAGCGUCCAACUCUUGAUUUCGGCUCAGUUCAUGAUCUCCAGGUUCGUGGGUUCAGGGUCUGAAUCGGGCUGUGUGCUGACAGCGUGGAGCCUGCUUGAAAUUCUCUUCCUCCCUCUCUCGAAUAAAUAAAUAAAUAAAUACAAAGGUGGGACAGGGUCAGAAGACAACUAAUUUGGUAUUGAGCGUUCGAAGACUGGAAUUCUGCGUAGUUUGACAGGAGGCUGAUCAGAGCAUCUUCCUUGGUUGUCAAUGUUCUCAGCUAAUGACUAAUUGCUGCUCUUGCCCAGAAAUCCAGAAACUCUGGAGAUGAGGAAUUCUUUUUGAAACUAAUUCCACAGUACAUCACCCCUUUUGUUCACCACCACACACUGUACCCUGGCUCCUCUUCCCAAGGGCGGUUCAUUGGCACGUCUGUCUGGUAGGGCGGCGUUUUCUGCAUAGUAAUCAGGCCUCUGCAAUUGUGACAUCCCUCCCCCUCCCCCUAAACUCUUUGGGUUCUUGACACGCGGUGGCAAUGCCACUGGUAGAACAAAAAUCAAAAGGAGAAAAGGGAAAAAAAAAAGUCUUCUUGAAUUUGAUGUGACUGCAUAGUUCUGCCACGUUGUGGUUAAGGAAACUCCUUUAAAAACUUUCUUCUUCUUCCCAGGAAGCAGCCUUGUGAACAGGCAGGUUCAGAAAGCCAGGGAGCCAACAAAUUUUUUCUAGUCAUUUACCAGCCUGUCCUACUUUAUACCAAGUGCUUAGUGAUCAGUGUGCACAUUUUAAAUGGUUAAAAUUUGUAUUUUGACCCCUUUUAGUAUGUGCUAAUUUGCAAAACUUUUAAAAGUUGGCUCUUUGGCCACUGUUGUGUGCAGUUUUCAUUUUUGUUGCCUGUGUGACAAGAGUGGGUAGGGGCAAGGUCUCCUAAAGAUAGCUCAACAUGAGUACAUUGAAGGAGGCAGUGCAAGUUCGGCCAGCAAGUGUCCAUGUUUUUUCUUUUGUUAUGUUUAAAAAACAAACAGACCCCUGGAAUAUUAGAAUAUUUAGGAGCAAGGUGUUGUCAUUGUUUCUUAGACUCACAGAGUUUAUAACUAGACUUUUAUUAACUUGUGUUUUUUAUCUUGCACACACAAAAGGGCAUACUUAGAAGAUGAAAGAUUUAUCACAAAUUGAAAUACUAUAUAGAAGACUAAUGUUCCCUAUACUCUCUUCAGAAACUUGCCUUGCUAAUACUGUGUUUUCUGAUUCUGGUAAGGCUACAUGUCUUGAAAAUGGGAUUGUGAGGUGUAUUUGUUUCCAACCCUGUUGAUCUUGCUCUAUGCAGAUGCCCAGAUGAUUGUGGACAAAUUCUGCUCAGUUUCCAAAACCCAAGGGAGUUCCCAUAUGGUUAUUUUUCUGAAAAUCCUGACUUAGUAAGAUAUAAGCAUCCUUUUGGAGGAGGUCACAGAUUAAAUUCCUUGGAUGCCUUACCUCAGAUGCUAAGGAAGAAAUUUACACUCACUCAAUAAAUGUUUAUUGAUACCUACCAUGUGCCAGGCACCGAAAUGUGUAUUCUUUAACAGUGGGUUAGCCUGGAAGAACUACUCUUUGAUCAUUAGUAGUUUCUCAGUUCAGCACAGCAGCAUUCUGACCAUUGCUGGCAGGUCUGACCUUCAUUCCUGUCCUAUUUGCUGCCAUUUUCCAAGGACCUUGGGAUUAUAGAAUGUCAGACUUGAAAGAUAUAUAGACCUUCUAGUCCACUUCUUUCAUAUGAUUCAUGAGGAGUAAUGUAGGAUUUCAUAUGCAUACUCCCAGUUGGUCUCAAGAUCACCUCGAGUUUCUCUAAUUUAAAUGUAAGUAUCUGUUUAAUACUGAGAGUCAUUUUCAGAAUGCUUGAGUUGGGUGAGAUCUCUAGUUCAACCCCUUGAAAAACUGAUGGGUGGAUAAAUUAACACUCCUACUUAAAGAUGGUGGAGAAUUGGCUAUCACAGACGUAUUACAAGUAGUUCUGCCAAAGAGGCUUAUGCUAACCAGGAAUUAUCUUUUUACUCUCAGAGCGAUACAGACCAUAGACUAGGUUAGAGAUGUAGUCCAAAUAAAGUAGAAGGAUGAGUAGAGAACUUUUCAGAACUUGUUGAAUUAAAAAAAAAACCCAAACCCAAUGCUUUUCUGAUGCUGCUAUAAUUUCUCUAUCAAAAACAAGAUCCAGAAACAAAAAUGCCCUGAUUAACAAUCAGGAAACCAAAUAUCCUACCUGCUAGCCAACUCUAUGGGUUCUGAACACAGUGUACCAUUUGGGAUACCUUUGAGUUGUCUUUAGGUUUAUUUGAAAACAACUCCAGUGUGUUCAUGAGUGGCAAACAAUUUAAAAGCUCUUUAUGGCCUUGGUACUUUUAUAAAAUUUAGCAUUUCCAGUAGUUCUUCAAAGUUUGAAGAGAAGUAUGCUGUUAUCACAGAGAAAAAAGUAAAAGCUUAACUUUUUUUUUCUUUACCCCUCCCCCACAGCGGUCAGAACACUGGCUCUAAUUUCCCUGGACAGAUUUGUUUCAGGCUCAAGAUAGCUGCUUAAGCAGUUCAUGUGUAUAGAACUGUGUAGAACAUGUAUCCUUUUGUUAACACUGAAGUGGCCAGAGUGCUUCCACCAGCUGCAGAGGUGUGUUAGCUGGACCUCGAGAUUUUUGCCUUAAUCCAGAUGGACAGUUACCAGAGGACAUGAUGCAGAAGAGGUUAUUGGAGGUGGUGUUGACAGUAGAGUAUUGAGAUUGAAGAUGGUAUUAUUAAGAAGGAGAGGACAGAAGGCUAAAUAACAGGCAAGUGAAUUUGUUUCUCACUGUGUCUAAUGCUAUGGAUCACCGUAGGGUGAAUGUAUUUGUGUUUCUGGGUCAGCCACAUUGGGACAACAAAGUGAUCUCUUAAAUUGGAAAGCAGUGUUGUUCUUACUUGGCUGUUUCUUCAUGUCACACCCCUUUAGUGGUGUACAUCAUGGUCCUUCUGUUGUAGCUUAGUACCUGACAGCAUGUAUAUACAUGCAGGUAAUGUGCCUAGAGGCUUUAAUUUGACCUGGCUGCUUUUUCCCUAGGCUAGAGUCCUUUCAUUAAACUCAGAAGAUGUGCGUAUUUGAUGAAAAAAAAAAAAAAAAAAUAUAUAUAUAUAUAUAUAUAUACGCACAUACAUACACUUUUAAAAAGAAAAAAGUUGGAGAAGACCUGUUAUAAUCCUUCUUAAUUUAGGUGUUCCUUGCAGAUUUGGUCAUUUGCACAUGAGCUAUUGAUUUAGGUUCAUUAAGAGAUUUUCUGUUCUUUGUUUUCUGUGUUUUGUUUUUAUCUAUGCAUAGGCUUUAUAGUUUAUUGCUUUAAGAGGACAAGAAGUGGAUGGAUUUAUAAUUUAUUUAACUAUUUCUUUGUUGGAGAGCACUUGUUAUUUUUUCCCUUUAUUUUAAUAUUCUAUAAUUUAUAGUUAUUGUUUUUAUAAUUUUAUUUUAUUUUUAUACAUUUAUUUUUGAUAAAGACAGAGCAUGAGUGGGGGAGGGGCAGAGAGCGAGGAAGACACAGAAUCUGCAGCAGGCUUCAGGCUCUGAGCUCUGAACUGUCAGCACAGAGCCUGAUGCAGGGCUCAAACUCAUAAACCGUGAGAUCAUGACCUGAACCGAAGUCAGAUGCUUAACCGACUGAGCCACCCAGGCACUCCGAUAAUUUCACUUUAUUUUAAUAUAAUUUUUAAAAAUACUUAUUUAUGUUUGAGAGACAGAGCGUGAGCAGGGGAGAGGUAGAGAUGGAGACACAGAAUGUGAAGCAGGCUCCAAGCUCUGAGCUGUCAGCACAGAGCCCAAUGCGGGGCUCAAACCCAUGAACUGUGAGAUUAUGACCUGAACCAAAGUCACAUGCUUAACUGACUGAGCCAAUCCAGGUGUCCCUGUUUUUAUAAUUUUAAAAUAAGAGGAAUGCAUCUAAGUGUUCUGUACAUUGCUAAGGUUCUAACUGUGGACUCCUGACUAGGAACUCACAGUAAACUAGCUACAGGGAAAUUUGGCUACAAGAAAUGCAAUAGAAUUGAGCAGAGGAUUCCGUGUUCGUGUGUACAAAUGAGUCAUGAGACUGGACCUCUCAGCUCAAUAGGCUGAGCCUCUUCUUUGUGCUCUGAGUCAAAGAGGAAAAAAAGUAAAGGACUGACGUGUGUGUGUGUGUGUGUGUGUGAGAGAGAGAGAGAGAGAGAGAGAGAGCGAGAGCGAGAGCGAGUGAGAACACAUUUCCAUUCUGUGGCCUUUACAAGUAGAUAUGUGAUAGGGGUAAGAGCUGGCAAAAUCUGAAACCUAUAGGUGCAGUUUAAACAAUUCAGAGGACAACCCCCACAUGUUUCUUGUCCUUAUGCUUUUUACUUUUUUUUUUUGGAUUUUUGUUACUUCCCCUGCCUGCCCCCCUGCGCCCCCCCCCCCAUUUGUGAUCCAAGGAGGAUGAAGACCUUUUUCUUACAAUCCUGCUGUUCGAAGCAUUUGGAUAAUCUUACAACGAAAUAAAAUUAUCUCUUAAAAAAAAAAUUUUUUUUUUAACGUAUAUUUAUUUUUGAGACACAGAGAGACAGAGCAUGAACAGGGGAGGGUCAGAGAAAGAGGGAGACACAGAAUCUGAAACAGGCUCCCGGCUCUGAACUGUCAGCACAGAGCCCGAUGCGGGGCUCAAACUCACGGACCGCAAGAUCAUGACCUGGGCCGAAGUCGGACGCUUAACCGACUGAGCCACCCAGGUGCCCCUAAAAUUAUUUCUUAAAAAAGAAAAAAACAAUUAUGAGGCGUCUGGCUGGCUCAGUCAGUGGACCAUGAGAUUCUUGAUCUCAGGGUUACAAGUUUGAGUCCCGUGUUGGGUGUAGAGAUUACUUAAAAUCUUUAAAAGCAAACAGAAACCAUGGUGAUUUAUUUUGAAAUUAACCUGAGGGGAAAAAAUUAAUCUAUUGAAUGGUAUAAUUUGAAUGUAAUAAAAUUUGCCAUUUUAUGUGCAGAAUGUGAGUUUUGAUAAAGGUGUACAGUUGUGUAACAUCACAGUCAUGAUGUAAAGCAUUUCAAACAUUUUCAUCACCACCCCUUGUACUCAUUUCCAGCCAUUCCCCUCCCCCUGCUUUUGGCCCCUGGCAACAUCUGAGCUGCUUUUGCCUUUUCUGGAAUUUUAUAUAAAUGGUGUCAUACUGUAUGUAGCUUUUUGUGUUAGCUCCUUUCACUUAGAAUAAUGCAUAUGAGAUUCAUUCCUGUCUUGUGUCAGUUCAUUCCUUUUAAUUGCUAUGAAACAUUCCAUUUUGUGAAUAUUCCAUGAGCAGAAUAUUUUAUCCAUUUAUCUAUCAGUAGAUGGACUUUUGGGUUAUUUCCAGUUUGUUGUUGUUGUUGUUUUGUGUUUUUUUUUUUUACUAUUAUGAAUAAAGUUGCUUGGAGUAUUCACAUUCAAGUCUUUGGGGAUACAUUUUUCCAUUUCUUGGGGGUAAAUCCCUAGGAAUAGGAUUGCUGGGUCAUAUGUACAGUGCAUGUUAAUUUUAUAAGAAACUGCCAAACUGCCAGACCACCAAACCAGCAGUAUAGGAGAGUUCUAGUUGUUUCCCGUCCUCUCCAACAUUUGAAUGGUUUGUCAGUCAUUUUACUUUUAUCCACUGUAGAAUGUAUUGAGUGUGUAAUGGUAGAUAUCUUAUACUUUUAAUUUGCAUUUGCUUCAUUAAUAAUGUUAAGCAUCUUUCUAUGUGCUUAUUUCUGAUUUGUAUAUCUUUGGUCAAGUGUUGAAACCUGCCUUUUUCAAAAAUAGGAAUAUUUGUGUUCAUACUAUUCAGUUAUAAGAGUUUUGUUGUAUUUUGUUUUAAUCUUUUAAUGUGAAGAAGCACAUUGAUUUUCAAUGUUAAACCAACCUGGUAUUGCUGGAGUGUAUCUGACUUUGUCAUAACAUGUUACCUUUUGUGUUGCUAGAUUCAAGUUGCUAAGUUUUUGUUAAGGAUUUUUGUGUCUGUCUUCAUGAGGGAUAUUGAUCUAUAAGUUCCUUUUAAUAUUUUGUCUGGUUUUAGUAAUCAGAGUAAUGGUAGUCUCAAAAUGAGUUGGAAAUUGUUCUUUCUUCUGUUUUCUGGUAGAAUUUGUAUUAUCUUUCCUUCCCUUCAAUGUUUGGUAGAAUUCAACAGUUAAUCCUUAAGAGCCUGGAGUUUUCUUUGUAAGGUUUUUAAUUACCGAUUCAAUUUAUUUACUAAAUAGUGAGGCUGUUGGUUUUUAAAUUUUUCCUGGAGUGAGUUUUGACAGUUUGUGCCUUUCUAGAAAUUUGUCCAUUUCAUUUAAGUUGUCAAAUUUAUGAACAUAGAGGUGUUUAUGUUAUUCUCUUAUUAUCCUUUUAAUAUAUGUAUGACCUGUAGGGAUUUUGUUUUCAUUCUUGAUAUUGAUAAUUUGUUUUCUGUCUUUUCCCUUAUUCUGGCUAGAGCCAUGUGAUUAUUGACUUUUUCAAAGAAUCAGCAUUUGGUAUCAUUGAUUUUUCUCUGUUGUUUUUAUGUUUUUAGUUUCAUUAAUUUCUGCUCUUUAUUUUCAUUCUGCUUGUUAUGGGUUUAAUUUGCUCUUUUUCUGGUAACUUAGGAUGGAAGGUUAGACCAUUUAUUUGAGACUCUCCUUUCCUAAUACAAAUAUUAAAAGAUAAAUUUCCUUCAAGCAACUGCUUUGGUUACAUAUAACAAUGUUUGUUUUUUACUUUCGGCUGAAAAUACUUUCCAAUUUAGCUGGUGAUUUCUUUUUUGAUCUAUGGUUUAUUUAGAAAUGAAUUAUUUAAUUUCCACAUAUGUGGAGGAUUUUCCAGAUUUUGUGUAUGUAUGUAUGUAUGUAUGUAUGUAUGUGUGUAAGCAACCUCUGCCCCCAACAUAGGGCUUGAACUCAUGAUCUCAAGAUCAAAAGUUGCACAGGCUCUACAGACUGACAAGCCAGGUGCCCCUCUAUUAUUAUUUUCUAACUUAAUCCUUUUGUGGUCAGAGAAUCUACUUUGUAUAAUUUCAGCCUUCUUAAAAAUUUAUGGAGACUUGUUUAUAGCCUACAAUUUGGUCUGUCUUGGUGAAUGUUUUAUGUAUAUUUGAAAAGAAUAUAUAUAUUUUUGGGUGUGUGUUCUAUAAAUGCCAGUUAGGUCAAGGGGGUCAACUUCAUUUGGUGAGUGCUUGUUAUAUUAAUUACUGUGAAAUGAAUUUUGAAAUUCCAGCUGUAAUUGUGGAUUUGUCUACUUCUUUUUUCAGUUCUCUUUUUGCUUCAUGUAUUUUGAAAUUCUAUUGCUGGCAGAUAAACAUUUCAGAUCGUUCUAUAUCUUCUUGAUACAUUGGCUCCUUUGUUAUGGAAUGUCCCUCUUCAUCCUGGCAAUAUUCUUUGUUAAAAAUCUGUAUAAUAAAGGUAAUAUAGUACCACUACCACUCCAGCUACUUUUGUUUAAUAAGCUACUUUAACUUUCUUUCGAUUACUAUUUGUAUGGUACCUCUUUUACCCUCCUUACACUUAUAACCUAUCUCUGUGUUUAGACACAACUAAUCUUUGUAUGUAUGUAUGUAUAUAAGCAGCAUAUAAUUAGUUGGGUCUUGUUUUUGUUGUUGCUAUUAUUUAAUCCAGUCUGACACUCUCUGCCUUUUGUUAGGAGGGUUUUUAAAAAGACCAUUUCAUAUAAUGUAAUUGUGAUUUGUUUAGGUUUAAAUCUACUAUCUUGUUGUUAGUUUUCUAUUUGUCCUGUGUGUUUUUGUGUGCUUUUCCUGCCUUCUAUUAAGUAGUUAUUGUUUCAAUGAAUACCAUUUACCUAGCAUAUUAGCCACAUCCCUUUGUUAUUUUAUAAUGGUUUCUCUAGUGUUUUACAUGUUUAACCAAUUAUAGUCAGUCUCCAAAUAAGACUUUAUGUAGAAUGUAAGAUCCUUAAAAUAACAUGCUGCCAUUUCUCCCUUCCUACUCUUAGUUCUAUUUUAUGUCUACAUGUUAUAAACAUGUUAUAAACGAUAUAUUACUAGGUUGCUUUAAAUGGUCCUUGUCUUUUAAAAAGAUUAAAAAUGAGGGAAGAAAAUCUCUAUUUAUCCAUGUAUUGAUAAUUUCUGGCUUUUCAUUCCUUUGAUGUCCAUCUGAUAGCAUUUCUUUCUGCUUGAAGAACUUUCUUAUGACCUUUCUUACAGGGCCGCUCUGCUGGCAGUGAAUUCUCUCAGCUUUUGUUUGUCUGAAAGUCUUUAUUUUGUCUUCAAUUUUGAAAGACAGUUUUACUAGGUAUAGAAUUCUAGGAUGAUGGUUUUUCUGUUCCCUUAUUAAGGGUGUUCCUCCAUUGUCUUCUGUCUUAAUAGUUUAUGAAAAGCACUUUGCUCUCAUUCUAUCUUUAUUCCUUUUUUAAAAGUUUUAAUUGAAAUUCCAGUUAAUUAACAUAGUGCAAUAUUAGUUUCAGGUGUACAGUAUAAUGAUUCAACACUUGCAUACCUCACCUGGUGCUCAUCACAACAAGUGCACUCCUAAUAUCCCCAUUAUCUAUUUAACCCAUCUUCCUGGCCACCUUCUGGUAACUAUCAGUUUGUUCUCUAUAGUUAAGAGUCUGUUUCUUGGUUUGCUCUUCUCUCCCCCCCCCCCCCGCCCCCCCCUUUGCUCAUUUGUUUCUUAAAUUCCACAUUUGGGUAAAAAUCAUAUAGUGUUUGUCUUUGACUGACUUAUUUUGUUUAGUGUAAUACUCUCUCUAGCUCCAUCCAUGUCAUUGCAAAUGGCAAGACUUCAUUCUUUUUUAUGGCUGAGUAAUAUUUCAUUGUGUAUAUAUAUGCCACAUCUUUAUCAAUUGAUGGAUAUUUGGGUUAUUUCCAUAAUUUUUAGAUAAUGCUACUCUAGGUAAUGCUGCUAUAAACAUAAGAGCGCAUGUGUCCCUUUUGGUUAGUAUUUUUGUAUUCUUUAUCUUCUUUUAUUGUGUCUUUUUCUCUGACUGCUUAUAAUUUUUCUUCUUUAUCACUAAUUUUAAUAUGAUUUGCCUUUGUGUGGUUUUCUUUAUAUUAUUCUAUUUGGGGUUUAAGUUUUCUUGGAUCUGUGGGAUUAUAGUUUUUAGCAAAAAAAAAAAAAUUAUUUUAGCUAUUAUUUUUCAAUUAUUUUUUUCCUGUCCUCUUCCUCUCUUCUUCUUGACCUUAAUUACAGAUAUGUUAGAUAGCUUAAUGUUGUCUUCCCACAGGUCACUGAUACUCUUUUAACUUGUUUUUCAGUCUUUUUUGCUCUCUAUGCUUCAUUUUGGAUAGUUUUGUUGUUGUGUGUUGAAGUUUACUGAUCUUUUGCAAUGUCUAAUCCACUGUUAAUCCCAUCCAGUAUAUUUUUUUAUUUCAGAUAUUACAUUUUUCUUUACUGAAAGUGCCACUGGAUUUGUUUUUUUAUCUAUCCCUUCUCUGCUUCCUUUUUCUACCUGGAAUAUAUUUAGAAUAACUUUUUAACAACUGUAUUGAGACAUAACUCACAUUGGCAUGUAAUUUAUCCAUUUAAAGUAUAUAAAUCAAUGCUUUUAGUACAUUAACAGAGUUGUGCAAUCAUCACAAUCUAAUUUUAGAACAUUUUCAUCACCCCAUAAAGAAACUCUUUACCCAUUAGUCCCCAUUCUGUAUUGCUCCUCUCCAGCAUACACAACCACUAAUCUACUUUCUGUCUCUAUAAAUUUGAUUAUUCAACAAAUUUCAUAUAAAUGGGAUCAUAUGAUACAUGGUCUUUUGUAUCUGUUUUUUUUUCACUUAGCAUAAUGCUUUUAAGGUUCAUCCAUGUUGUAAUAUGUAUCAGUACUUCUCUUUAUGGUUGAAUAAUAUUCUACUUGUAUGGAUAUAUCACGUUUUAUUCAUUAGUUGAUAGACAUUUGGAUUGUUUCAAUUUGGGGGCUAUUAUGAAUAGUGCUGUUGUGAACAUUUAUGUACAAGUUUUUCCGUGGACAUGUAUUUUUAUUUUGGGUAUUUGCCUAGGAGUGGGAUUGCUGGGUCAUAUGGUUACUCUAUGUAUAACCUUUUGAGGAACUAUCUGUUUUUCCAAAGAAGCUAUACCAGUAUAAUAACCUGUUUAAUGCCCUUGUCUACUAAUUCCAUCAUCUCUUGUCAUUUCUGGGUCUGUUUCUAUUGAUUGGUUUUUCUCCUAGUUAUGAGUCAUAAUUUCCUCUUCCUUUUCAUGCCUGAUAAAUUUUACUUGGAUACUGUUCUUGGGUGCUAGAUUUUGUUGUAUUCCCUUAAAUAGUACUGGACUUAGUUCUGGCAUGCAGUUAAGUUACUGGAAAUAAGUUGUAUCAUUUUUUAAGCCAGCUGUUGGGCUUUAUUAGGAUAGGUCCAGAGCAGCCAUUAGUUUAGGGAUGAUUUAGCUCCAGUUCUAAAACAAAACUCUUCUGAGGAUUUUAUCUGAUGGCGUGAGUAUUAUGAAUUAUUUCUGCUUUUGUUGGUGAAAACAUGAACUAUUCCUAGCUCUUUUUGAGCUCUGGGACUUAGACCAACUGUUUUCGGUGCUUUUCUCCCUGACUUUAAGUGGUCUCCUCUCACAAAGAACUCAGCCUGAGAUUCUAAAGGACCUUUGCACUGCUCCCUCCUUUCAGGUGUGCUGCCUUGCCAAUUCUAGCCAGCUUGGCCUCCCUGAAUCCUGAUCUCUGCCCCCCUCAACUCAGUAUGACUGCCACACUCUGAGUUUUCCUUUCUCUAUGUUGUGGCUUGGAAACUGCGAUGAUCAGGCAAUCAUAGGACAUGCUCAUUUGUUUCACUCUCCUCAGGAAUUAAGUCCUACACUGCCUGUUGUCCAGUGUCUGAAAAUAAUUGUUUCAUAUAUUCUGUCUGGUUUUCUAACUGUUACUCCAUCAUAGCUGAAAUCCAUGAUAAAUGCGAUGUCAGUGCCAAAGCAUGCUGCUGUAUUAACCAUUUAAAGUAGAGCUUGUUAUAUAUAUAGGGAGAAGAAAAAGAGUUAGUGUUACCUGUGAAGCCAAGGCAGGAGACAUUCUGCAUGUAUACUACAGAAAUGGUACCUUUACUUUGUAACUUAGGGCAUUUGUGAUUUUCAAUACAGUAGUCACUGUUGGAAAAAUUGCCCCUUUUAGUCAUCCAAGUAAUAUUUAUUAAAUAUCCACAGAGUACUUGGUGCUGUGCUAGGCAUUAUUUUGUAUUCGUACUUUUUUUUUAUGUUUAUUUUUGAGAGAGAACACAAGUGGGGGAGGGGCAGGGAGAGAGAGGGACAGAUGAUUUGAAGUGGGCUGUGUGCUGACAGCAGAGAGCCCAGUGUGGGGUACGAUGUGAUGAACCAUGAGAUCAUGACCUGAACCAGAUCGGACACUCAACCCACUGAACCACCCAGGCACCCCUCUUAUUCCUACCUCUUUUUUUUUUUUUUUUUCCUACCUCUUAACAGUUGGAGUAUGCCAAACAAAUGAAAUAAAAAUAAUUUUGCUAUUCUGGUUACCAGUUAGAUUCUUGGAUUUAUCUCUCAGGCUUUGACAUUCAGAAACUGGGAGUAGAAUAUAGUAUAUUCUCAGCUGUAAAGUUGAUCUCAUUUCCUCACUGGCCAUCUGUUUGUUUGUCUCCAAGAAUAACAAAAAUUUCAUAGCCAUAUAUGUAUUAUUUAAUUACUUAAAAUAAUGAAUGGGCUGAACCAUGCUUGCCCCACUUUUGAAACAGUUCCUCCUAUAGGCUGUUGCAGUAGGAAGCUAAUACCUCUGAUUAAGAAUAAAGACCAGACCUACAUAAGCAUAUGUUGUACUGCUGUAUCUGAAGUCAUGAGGGUGUGAUUAAUGGUCCUUAAGAGUUUUAAUUUGGCGUGUCUUACUCCUAAAUCUCACUUAAGCUUGGUUGCAAAGCCUUACAAAUGAGUCUUCUGUACAUGCCAAGCUAAGACAAGUCACUGCCUUCUUGGGGCCUCAUUUCCUAAGCCUGUCUGGGUUCCCUACAGGUUAAAUUACAGGACAAAGCUUGCAUGGAGUCGUAGGGAAUCUUCACAGAUCAUUCUUGGAGCAGAGGAGUUAAGUAACAUUCUUUGCCUGAAAGCAUGGUUCAUUUCCUAAGCCCAGUUCUAACAGUGUCCUCUUUUAAAUCUUUAAGUUAAUUAAAUCCUUUCGUUAUAUUUUUGGGGUCAGAAAAACAGACCGUGCUUGUACUCAGGAGUCUAGAAACACACAGCAUCAUUGACUAAUUACUUUCUUAGAGGUCUUACAUGACUUCAUGCUGCCUUUUGAUUUGUUUUUAUGUGUGAAACAUUUUUUCUUAACACAUUUAACAGUACAUAGUUUUUUGUCUGCCCUUUCCUUAAAUAGGAGGGUGACAGUUUCUUUAGGAGGAAAAUAUAUGAUGAUAAGUGACCUCAGUUUAUUUCAUGUGGGAUGUAGAUGUUUCCCAUAAAAAUUAAAGUUAACUGUUUUUUGCAGAUAGGGCCCCUGUAUUUUUUCCAUAGCACUUUAUAGAUGGAAGGGAUUGUGUGUGUUUAAAGACAUGAUGCUUUUCUGGAGGAGCUGGAAUCGUUUGUAUUAAGUCAUGUUUCUGAGUCUGAGGAUUAGAAUACCUCUUUGAUAUGUAUCUUGGAAUGAGCUAAUAAUUUGUUUAUAAUAAGAAUUUUAUUCUUCAAUAGCAGCUGUUCUUGGCAGCUUAUUAUAAAAAAGUUCAAGUUGUAGUCUUUAAUCUGGGGUGGGAUUAGGGGAGAACAAAAUACUAUUAAUGAUUUUACUUGAUAAAAGUUUGGUUUAUUUGAUAUAACUACUGUCUUUAUUGCAUACUGCUUUAUUACUGACAUUCAGCAAAUGAUUCCCUCUGUGCCUGCAACCUUCUGUGAUAUCCAAAAUGUAGGUACUUAAAUGUUUGAAUGAAUGACACAACCUAAAGUAUUCAAAUGCUUACUAAAAUGAUGCCUUGUAUACCCCUACUUCCAAAGAGAAUUUUGAGGAUGACUAGUAUUUCAGUUGUUCAAGUUGGAUAAUUGUGUUUGGAUGGAGAAUCUAUGUUCUUGUGAAAUUGAAGUUUAUGAAAUAAGAUUGGAAAAAAAUAGAGUGUAUAAUUGGGCACAUCCUGUACUGCUUAGUGAAUCACCAACCCAGUGUAAUUGCCAUUAAGCAUUUUGGAAACCAGACUUGUAUGUUCUUGCUCUGCCUGUAAAGCUAGGAGUUGCCCAGGGGGAGCAGCAGUUCAUCUGGGCCAGAGUCAUUGGAGUGACGCGUCGAGCCCCUGCUCAUGUGUGUGAGCCAUUUGCCUUGCUGGCUGACUGCUGAUGUGAGUCGUGAAGGCAUCAGAUGCCGUCAUACCAAAGCAGGACCUUCCUUGGUCAUUUUUAAGGCCAUGACAGGAGUCACGUUCAAAAUAUAAUUAAUUAAUAAGGCAAUGUCCAGGAGAAAAAAUUAAUUGUAUGUGUAGUUCAUGAUGUACCUUAGCUACUGCAAUGAAGAAUCAUUGGAAUGAAUCUCUUACCACAUUGGCCAGUCCCUCAUCAGUCCAGUACAAACCUGCUUUGGGAGGAGUAGAUGGAUCAUUAAGAUGAAGAUGCCUGAAAAAGUGAAAUCCAAACCUAGGGCCAAUUAGGUAUUCCUAUCCUUCUGACCUCAUAAUGUGUAAAAGUUUUCUAAGCACUCUUCGAAUGGCAUGCCACAGGACACGUGCAUGUGCGUUUUUCUGGGAAGUGGAUGCAUCUCACUCACUGGACUCUCAGAGGAGUCCACAGGAUGAAGAGUCACUGACCUGGAGUGACAGGUAUGGUUGUGAAAAGAAAGGCAAAGUUUUAAACCCAGUAAAAAUGGCAGUACUCAUCUUUGGAAGAAAAAGGAGCAGUUAUUGACCUUCAUCCGUUCCUGCGUACAGCACCCCUCUCACUCCAAGCCCUGAAUCCUUUUAAGGAAAGACUUUGAUUUCCCUUGUGGGCAGUAGUGUUUCCAGUAGUUGGUUAGGCUACUGUGUGAGAUAUGGAGCUAAUUUUUAAAGAACUUUUUGCGUUGGAAGUGCUUUUUCUUCUCCUUUGUCAACAGUGCUUGGCUUUCCUUUGAGAAUUCCAGUGGUCUACAAGUCCCCAGCACUCUAGCCCUUGUGUGCUCCUGCAGGGUUAUGGUCUUUUACAUUGAGUCAAGGGAGUCUGAAAUGGAAGAUAUCUGUCUUUGAAUCCCAACUCCACUGUGGAUUAGCUGUAUGACUUUGAGCAAGUCACCUAGUCUCUUUGAACCUCAGAUUGUUUUUGUUUUUUGUUUUUUGUUUUUUGGUUUUUUUUUUGUUUUUUUGCUUUGUUUUUUUUUUGUUUGUUUUUUUGGCUAUGGAAUAGGGAUAGUAGCUCCCUAUGUUGAAGGGCUUUUGUAAGAAUUAAAAGAGAUAAUGAAUAUAAAAUGCCUUGCAUACCAUUUGGCACUUUGUGAGCUUCCAGUAAACCUUAGCUGCUGCUAUUAGACCGUGUGCAUAUUGGUGAAUGUGUAAUCUCUUCUUUUCCCCACUUGGUUGUCAGCAACUUGAGGGCAGGAACCAUGCUUUAUUCUUGGUCUGUCAUCCGGAUUGCCUAGAAUAAUAAUUGUUGGUUGCUUUUUCAGUGUGGUCCUGAGUCCCUGAAUCAUUCCACGUCAUAGGCAUGUGUCUCAACUAUUCCAGUUUUAAUAUGUGGAGCACCAGGGCACUUGUCAAGUGCUCUUAGAGACAUUCCUCAGGCAGAAAUGGUGGGAUUUUUGGCUUCAUUUUAUUGGCCAGGUUGAGUUUGACUCUUUGGUCAUGGUGUUCGGUGAGGUUCAGUCUUUGAAGUUUUGUAACUUCUUACAGUGUCAAGUCUAUACUCCUUGGAUAAGACAGAGACUUAAGUUCCAUUCCCUCAUAAAUAGGGGAAAGGGCAGCUUCAAGUCCUAUACUGUGAAUGGUGGGUCAGCUCUUCCUUUUUGUACCAUUUCCUGUUGGCAGCAUCCUCCAUUCCCAUCCCCGACCUCAGCCCCGCCUAAGGUUGAGCCCUCUCAGUGUGGUCAUACCCUUAUCAGUCUGUACUCCUCUCAGAACGUAGAUUAACUCAUACCAAACUCUUAGUCCUUAGUAGUGCUAUUCAUGUCUUACUUCUCCCUCUAAGAAUAUGAGGCUUUAUAAAGUGAGUAUGCAGAGGUGAUAUCUUAAGCCAGUGGUUCUUAACAUGGGUGGGGCAGGUGUGUGUGGUUUUGCCCCCAGGUGACAUUUAGAUACUUUUGAUUGUCACAAGGUGGGGUGGGGCAGUGGCUACUGCUGGAAUCUAGUAGGUAGAGAUCAGGGAUGUUCUAAACAUAGUACACCACACAGGAUAGUCCCCCACAAUAGAAAAUUAUCCAGCUCAAAAUGUCAAGUAUUGCCAAGGCUGAGAAACAUUGCCUUUAGCCUGACAGGGGUAUAAGUCAUCUGACAAUUUGUUGGGGAGAAAAUGGGAGGUAAGAGGUAUUUAGCUGUCCUAAGUGAGUCCACUUCAGUACUUGCCAGGUAGGCAAUACCUAAUGGCAGGAUAUGCUAGAAAGAGUCCUGAAUUUGGCCUCAUGGAGUCAUGUUUAUGUGACAUUAGGGAUGAUCUGGACCUGAUGCCCCGAGGAGUAAAUUGCCACGCUCUGCAUGGAGAGUUGGGAAGAAAGAAGCAGAGGCAUCUGAAACUUUGAGGAGUGGUUGGGGCAUUUCUCCUUAAGUUCCUCUUAGAGAGCAAGAGAAUCAGGGAGAGAGUGGAAGCUUUCUCUCCUGAGAUUUGCUUUGUACCUGAGAAUCCAUUUGAAUCAGCCAGAAGAAGGAACUAGAGGGAAGGAAGAUAGAUCUUGUCCUGAGUAAUUUCUCUUUGGGAUCAAAUCAUAGGGCAGAGUCCCUGCCUCUUGGGGAACUAUUGAGGAGCUGGUUGAGUUGAGAAUUUUCACAUACACACACACUUGCCAUUUUUUGUUUUCAAUAGCUCUGUUUUCUUCCCUUCCCAGUAUUUCCCCUGACCUCCUUCUCCCCUGCAACUACAUAGACGUUGGGAGGAGCCUUUCUUGCUCUUCUACGGAAGGAGCCAGUGUGUGUGGAAGCAGCAGGCAUUCACACUGGACUGCACCUUUCCUGUGUUACACGUCCAGUGUCCACAGAUCCAUGUGGAUCCAUCUGCCUUACUCAUUUACUCUGAACAAGGACAGCAGCAGCACCAGCAAUAGCAAACGGAGAUGAAAUGACUCAUUUUGCAUGAUGUCUAUGAGAGAGCCGGGGCCUCCUUUGUGCUGUGUCUCCCAUUCAGGCAUUCUUUCAGGAACUUGCUUCUCUGUAGUUCUAGAAUUGUGUGUAAGAGGGCCUUUUUAAAAAAGUUGGAAAUGUUCGUCUUCCUGAGUUGCAGUGGAAGCAGCAGGAGGGUCAGCCACUUCCAGGACAGCGAGAGAGGCACAGAAGAGGACACAGAAGGAGGUCUGAGCCUGGGCAAAUGCUGUGUGUCUGUCUCUGCUUUGUGACACGGUUCCCUUUCUCAUAUUGGCUAUGUCAUAGGACCAAAAGCAUGUCUCAGAAACCUACUGGAUUCUGCUCAUGGCUUCUAGCAUCUGGUUUGGGGAAAGAUUCUGGGGUGCUCCAAGGGCUAGCUCCCAGCAAGGGUUAGGACAGACAUCAUGAGCCCUGGAUGCCUAGGGAGCCUUCUCUGAUGAGCUUACAACUGGCCUUUCAUGAUUUCUGGGUCCUUGGUGAGUGUGAGUAGUCAUUGUAGGAUAUUUGGUGGAGUAGAAGAUGGCAGGCAGGUUUUAUUGAAACCACCUGCACAUGUAAACCUUCUCUUAAUGUCUUACCUCCUCAGUUUGGGAGGAGAAGCUCCCUACCUCCAGGUUCCCUCCCCAAGGACAACAAAUUACUAUGACAGGUUCAGAACUGACAGACACUGGGUCAGCCCCAUUGUGGGCUGCUGGGCCUGGCCUUCAGUAGAAGCUUCCUUUUUAACCUGGGCAGGCCUUAUCAGACUUUUUGCUUCUGGGUACUUUUUUUUAAAUGUCAUUAUCAUACAAAAAUCAUAGUCUUUUCAGGAAAAUAAAGGAAUCUAUCCCUCUCAAGCUUCUAACCUUUGUAGAAAGCACAGUGGUAACAAAGUACAAACCAGUUUGUACUGUUUGAUUAAGGAGGAAAGAAUUUCAACUAUUAAAAUGAUGUGGGAAGGAAAGAAAUUCAGGUCUUGGGCUGUGGGUCUUGGACCUAAACUAGACUUAACAGUUAAAGUUUUCCUCCUUUCAUGAUGCUAACUUUCUUAAUGUUUCCCUUAUGAACAGUUGAGACAAGAGUUUUUACCUUUCAGCUAAAAAAUAGACAACCUCCUGCAAGUUGUGUUGUCUCCUUCAUUAAAUGGAUUUAAAAGGAGUGGAGAAGUGUGUAUUCCUUAAUAAAAAUAUGUAUCAAAUUAAUGGGUAGGUAGGACUCAUCGUGCCACCAAGAUUUGGACACCUGGAUUGUAUACAGACUGUGACAAAAACGUUGUAAGAUAGUGUUGGGGCCAGGGAAUUUCAUUCUUCCAUGAACCUGUUUGAUAUUUUGGGAAUGUUCUGAGAGAGAUUCUUUUACUUACUUGGUGAGCAAGGUCCAGAUUAGUUUGUACCUGGGGCUUCUCAAGGAGUUAUGUCGAGCCAAAGGCUUGGAAGCCCACGGAUGAUGGAAUUUAGGGUAUAUCUCCCUUCUUUGUUUGGAUAAGAUAUUUCUUAAGAUAGCCUAAUGGUAAUAACAAAAAUGAAACACUCUAGACUUUUACUCUAGACAGAUAUAGCUCUUUGGGCACAAAUCCAAGGAAAUACAGGGGAAGAUUAGGUUUUAUAACUAUUUCAUUCUAUUUCAAGAUGAUAAGGGGGAAAUUAUCAAGCUUAUCAGACUAGUAGGUUGCUUGCUUAAUAAACAGUGGCAAAGAAUAAAGCUAUGAGUCCAAAAUGAGUGCACUUUUUAGAAAAGAUGAUUUUGUAGUGUUAGGGUAUAUCCUGUAUGUGGGCUUGGAAAGAACUUAGGUUGCCACUUUAUUUUUGCAGGGAAUAAUCAAAAUAUAAAAGUGAAAAUUAGUAUUGCAUUUUGGUAAAGCUUUAGAUGUUUAUUUCUUAAAAUAAACUUUUUUUCUAUGAAUAAAAGCAGAGGUCAAAGAAAUCAUAAGAGCAUCUUCAACUGAAUGGGACUGGAUGCUGGUGUUUCUCAUACAUAUAUAUGUUUUUUGCAGUUACUCGACAUUUUUAAAGAUUCAGAUUAAAAAGUUUAUUCUCUGAAGUCAUGGGGUCAUGGGAUCCAUACUAAGCAUGGAGCCUGCUGGGGAUUCUCUCUCUCCCUCUGCUCCUCUUCCCUGUUUGCUCUUUCUAAAAAAAAAAAAAAAAAGGUAGAUAUUUAAAAAAAAACAACUUUAUUCACUGUGCAUAAGAUUAAAUAUUUGAUCUGGUAUUUGUUAUCUGUUUUAUCCGGAGAUUUGAUAAAACUUCAUGUAAGGAACAUAACUUGUAGUUAUGGUUUUCUUACAAUUGUUAUUUAGUUUCCUGUGAAAAAUUCCAUUUCUUGACACUUCUAUGCUCUUUGGCAAGUUUGUUCAACUGUUUAAUCUUAAAAUAAUGAUUGAAGUACUGAUUUUUGUUAGAUCAUUAGGUGGAUGGCCUCCUCUUUUGUGUAAUAACAGUUGACUGCAUUCUUAAGGUUUAUUGAUGAAAACUAGUUAAGAUCUAAGUUGCUCAUAGGACUAAAAGGUGCGUCCUUGUGUCUGGUAUGAGAUAUUUGUCUUCACACUAGUAAUUAUUUGCAUUUAACCAAUAAAUCUUACCUUCUUGUUGUUUUUUUUUUUUUAAGUUUAUGUGUUUAUUUUGAGAGAAGGAAUGAGGGGGUCGGGGAGAGAGAGAAAGAGAGGGAGAGGGAGAGAGAGAGCAUGAGUGGGGGAGGGGCAGAGAGAGAAGGAAAGAGAAUCCCAAGCAGGCUCCACACCACCAGCACAGAGUCCAAUGUGGGGCUCAAACUCACGAACCAUGAGGUCUUGAUCUGAGCCAAAAUCAAGAGUUGGACGCUUAACUGACUGAGCCACCCAGGUGCCCUGAUAAAUUUUACCUUCUAAAAGAUCAGAUGAAGGUGAAAUGGUAUAAUGGUGAAAUGAAUUUCUCUAGAACUAAAGAAAUCCUUACUCUGGGGGACUGUGGUGAGCCCUCUAAGCUGCACUGGGGUCUUCAGGCGAGGCCUUAACUCCUCCAUGACUCAGCUUUGGUGUAGUGGAAGGAUGCCACUCCUUGGAGUCAGAAGGCUGGGACCCUGCCCCACCCUGCCACCACCAUCUGUGAGACCUUGGGUGAGCCACAACUUUGCCAGGACCUUAUCUUAAAGUAGAGACAGUGUGACUAUGUUCUGGGUUUGUUUCAAUGAGGUGAUGGAAUAUUGAGGUGGUGCCUUCCCCACCACAGGCGCUUAGUGUGUUAGGGUUCUUUUCCUGCCUCCACCCCCCUUGUAAAGGGGACCAGAGUGUGUUUGCUUAGAAUUGUGUCUCAAUUCAGCUGGUGUGUUGCAUAAGCUUAGUUAUCUACUUUUCCUUUCAGUUCUUCCUAGGUAUACAGCUGGUUAGGGGGAGGUGGGGCUGAGGCUGAGGAGAGGAAGCUGCUUACAGCAGGUGCUGGGGAGAGGAAGUCGUCUGAGGCUGUUUGGUAUCAAGCACACUUUAGUAUGACCCUAGACAUCCAGAAAAUGUUAAAUUUUGUCCAAUAUGUCUUGUAAAAUGGCUAAUGUUUUAAUGUUUUGGCAUUUAAAAGUAAGUGUUAGUUAUUUGAAAAUUUCACUUGGGUGUAAUCCCCUUAUUUUCCUGUGGUACAAGAUCAUCAGGAGGUGUAUCAGUUGGCCUGGGUAGAGUUUGAAUCACAGGUACCCGUGUGAUCUCCAAAGAUGCUGGUGUUCUUUCCUGAGGUGUCAGAACUCAUUGGCUGUGCUGUCAGCUCAGAUACCUGUGGCACGUUGUCUUCCCAGCAAGUGGUCACUGUUUCUGGAAUAUGUGUCACUACCUUAAGGCAAGCCGCGUUAUUUUUAAUCUGUGUUCCUAGGUUACUUGAUGACUUGAGCACAUAUAUCAGAGAUAAACAGACAGGCAGGCCAUUGAUUUUUUUUUUUUUUUUUUUUUUUUUUGAGAUGAACAGCUCUAUAGCCAGGGAGGGAAAGAUAAAAUCAGUUUAUAAGUUACAGUGGUUCAGGGUGCUCUGCCUUCUCAGAUUUUUUACCCCCCAGGAAUCAUUGAUUUCAUAGAUUUUUAUUUUAAACUUUACCGUUCUGCAUAUUUCAGAGUGAAAUGUCCUAUGAGGAUAAUCUUAUUAAUCUUUAAUCUGGAAUUUUAUGUUCCUCACCUGGCUAUGCCAGUAUUUUUACUUGGAUUUUAGGUGAUUUUUAAAUCCACUAUAAACUUGACAUAACUCACAGUCCACCAAAUACUUAAAACGAGGGGUAUCUUCAAAGAUUUGACAUAGGAGGUGGCAUUCAAGCUGAACCUUGAAUCACAACUGGGGUUUUUUUAAGGUGGAACAGGAUGGAUGAGCUCCAUGAGGCAAGACUGUGUGUCUCUAGUUCACCCGUAUUUCCAAUUCCUAACUGAGACCCUGGUAUAUGGUGAUUACUCCCUAUGUAGCUGUCAAAAGAGUAAAUGACUAUGUGGUGGGGCUCCCAGGUAAGAGUAGAUGGUGGGGAGAUAGGAGACAAAUCAACCAACGGUAAACUGGAGCCUGUAAGAGGCCUUGAUGUCAGAUCAGAGGCUUUAUUCUUUCUGCUGUAGGCAAGGGAGGUUGGUAGGUGCCCUGUUGCAAGCUGACCUUCUGGUUAGUGGUGGCUUCUGAGGUCACUUGCAGGAGGGAGGGCUUUGAGCUGGUCUGGACAUUGGGCAAGGAGGGAAUGGAGUGGGGUGUGGCAGUCCUGUUGCUGAGCUUGCUCUCCCAUGGUUUGGAGAUGAGGAGUAGAGGAAUCUAAUCUAUACCAUUGUCAAUCUAUACCAUCUGCCUUCACAUAUGCCCAGAGUGGACCCACAGGGGCUGGCUAGGAGACUUUGAAGGCUGCUGAUGUGGGAGGAACUGGGGACCUGAGCCUGGGCCAGGGCAGUGGAGCUGACAGCGAGAGCUCCCAACAGUCAGCUCCCCUCCAUGUAUUGCACCAGGCUCAGUUAUAUACUGAUGUCCCUGCCUAAGCUGGUUCACAGUACUGAUUGUGAAGUGGGGUGUGAAAAGUGAUCCCUGUCCUCAAAGAGUUUGCAUUCUUGUUGGAGGAAAAAACGCCCCCCAAAAUAGUGAAACAAAGUGACUAUAAGAGCACAGAUGUUGGAGCCUCGGCCUAGGUUUAAACCUUUACUUAUCUGCUGUAUGACCUUGGGCAAGUGACUUGAUUCUCUCCCUCAGUUUGUUCAUCUGUUAGUAUCACCACUGCAUAGGGCUGUUGUGAGGAUUAAAUGAGUCAAGAUGUGCAUAUUUAAGGUGCUUAGAACAGAGUGUGGCACACAGUAAGUGCUGUAUAAUUGCUUUGGUGGUAGAGUCCCUAAGUCUCCAUUUCCUCUUAUAAUAAGAACUUUACACGAUUAUGAAGAUUAGGUGAAAUAAUGUAUGUAAAGCAUCUGGCACAGAGCCGAGCAGAGACCAACUGCUCAAUCAAUAGUAAUCAUUAUUGUUCUUUGUAUUUGAUACUUGCCCCUUGGUAUAAGUUUGAUUCUCCCUCUAUGGAAAGAUAAAAUGUAUUUUAGUCAUCUGUUUUUGCUUUCAGUUUCAGAAUCUACUUUUUAGUACAAAAUAUGCAUUUGUUAUUGGGCUGCUUCAUGCUAAGAAAAAUGACAAGAUUACCUCUGGGUAUUCUUCUCUCCUCCUCCUAAAGCACUGUAUGAGCUUGAAGUCUCUGGCAUGCAUAUUUAUUUAUUUUUCAGUGUUUAUUUUGAGAGAGAGCAUGAGCAGGGGAGGGGCGGAGAGAAAGGGAGAGAGAGAAUCCCAAGCAGGUUCCACAUCGUCAGCACGGUGCCCUACACCAGGCUUGAUCUUAGGAACCCUGAGCUCAUGACCUGAGCCGAAAAUCAAGAUUCAGAAGCUUAACCGACUGAGCCACCCAGGGGUCCCAGGCAUGAAUAUUUAAUUAAGUCUUAACUAAGAUAAAGCAGGAGCUCAUCAGGAGCUUUCUAAUGGCUAAUCCACAGUAACUCAUUUUUUCAGUCUUUUUUCUCCCACACAAGAGAAGACCUAGCGGUGACAGGAUAUUUUGGUGGUCCUUUGAAAGGAAUGUCACCCACAGGGUUUGGGGACACAGAGAGGAAGAGCUGUGUUUCACCUUGGAGCUUUGUGGCUUGGUGUGUGAUUCUCCUCUAGGUCCAUUGGCUUCACCCAGGAUGUGAGGUGGAGAUGGAGAAAGAGGAAGCAGACUCCCUCAAGGCUCUAAGCAAGUUCCACAGUGCUAGAGUUUAAACCCAUAUUCUCAGCCAGAUAUAAUUAGGAAGAAGCAGAUUAGCACUCUACCCUGGGAUAGUAUGGGGAGGCCACCUCCUUCUUCCCCUGUAAGGCAAAGACACAAAAGAUAGGAAGAACCUUGGGUGGAUGUCCAGGUUUUUACAUAGUGUUGGUGGUCUUCUGGUCUCUGGGGGCCUUUGAACUUCCAGAGGUGGGAUGGAGGCAUAGAGGGUCCUUUUUGGGUAAGGUUGUGUCAUGGUUAAGAAUUUGGGCUUCAGACUCAGACCUAGGUUUCAGUCUGAACUCCUUGACUUACUGGCUGAGGACCUUGAGGAGCAAGUUCUGUAAGCUUUCUGUCCCCCUGUUUCUCAUAGGUAAAAAUCCCAAUUGAGGAUUACAUUGAGAUUAUACAUAUUAAGGGCUUAUCAGCAUAAUUUCUAGCAAAAAUGAAAAGUUAUCUAUUACUGUUGGUGGUAAUACUAGUAAUCACCAGUAGUAAUCAGAAGUGCCAAGGGAGAUAGAAGAAACAGGCAGCAUUCUUAAGGGUGAGAGAUCAAAAUUGCCUUCUAGAUUAUGAAGGACCCUUCUAAAACCUUCUCUCUGUUCAGUUCAGUAAGAAAGGCAAGUAAGGUUGAAGAUGAGGAUUGUAUAAUUUCCUGGUACCUUCUUUCUGUCAGUCUCUUAAGAUAUGAGACAGUGGAAUCAAGUGGAGUAGGGGAGAACUGCCAGCAGAGAGAGGUUUGUGGUAUCACUUUAGAGGGACGUCCUUUGUUAUUUCUCUCGUCUUACUGUCUUAUCCAGCAUGACAUACUUUGAUGCCAUUGAAAAGUCAAAGGAUAAUAAUGUUAUAAGCAAUAAUCUUUUCAGAAGGGAUUAGGAGGAAGUUGAAGCUUUAGUUAGUAUUUUUGUUUCAUAGUAAAAGCUUUCAACAGUUUUACUCUGUAAUCUAAAAACAAACCCCACCCCCCUUUUUUAAAUGACCGGAGACAGUAAAUAAUUAAGAUAUCUGCUAUUUAUGUCUUUCCUCAGGCUUUUUUUUGAACAUACUAGCACUUGUCUUUAGGUACCUUUAAAUAGGAGUUUAAAUAAUGAACCAGGGAAAGGUAUCUUUUUCAUCCAUAAGUCCCUGUGGCUUUGAUGGUGAACCCAUGAUAAAAGGAUUAGAAAUACAGAUGAGAAGACUGAUUUAGAUACAUUUUCAUGUUAUAGAAAUUCUGAACUUCUGGCCCUGAAACAGGAAAGGCCCAUUUGAAGUUUUGUGGGCCUCCUUACUACUUUCCAGGUCAACCUUGAAAUUGUUUAAAAAAUUUUGUAGCAUGACCAAUUUUUAAAAAUAUAUAUUUUACUGGUUUAAACUCCAUGUUCACCUUUUCUAAGAUUUUGGGGUGUUUUUGCUUUGGUCAUAGAUGUGAGGGGCUUUAGGAAAUAGCUUCUAGGUGUAGAAUGUAGAGGGUAGGAGAGGGUAGGUACAGAAAGUUUUGGGCAGUACAAGUAAGAAUGGGAGCCAUUGUCAAAGAAAGAUUUCAAGAGGAAGGGACAAAGAAGAGGGGAGAGAGGAAAGAGCAGGUUGGAACAGAAAGGGAGAAAGAGGGGUACGAUGGUGAAAAUAGGGGAAAACGAAUAAUCCAGAGAGGAAGAGAAGGUACUAGGUAGGAAUGGUAGAAGUGAAGUUCAGAGAAAAAAGGUAGAGGUGGGUGAGUUUGGAAAAGAGAACAUAGGGACACCUGGGUAGCUCCAUGGGUUAGGCAUCCGAUUCUUGAUUUCAGCUCAGGUCAUGAUCUCACAGUUUGUGGGUUCAAGGGAUUCUUGAUUUUGGCUCAAGUCAUGAUCCCGUGGUUCUUGGGAUUUUCUCUCUCUCUGUCCCUCUCCCAUGUGCACGCUCUCUCUCUCUCUCUCUCUCUCUC
Molecule: long non-coding RNA, 35525 nt
Organism: Panthera uncia (snow leopard)
Lineage: Eukaryota; Metazoa; Chordata; Mammalia; Carnivora; Felidae
Exons: 2
Source: RefSeq, a predicted model, not a curated record